Molecule: ribosomal RNA, 497 nt
Filed under: uncultured bacterium
Lineage: Bacteria
Description: partial 16S ribosomal RNA
Rfam family: Bacterial small subunit ribosomal RNA
Source: RNAcentral
GAUGAACGCUGGCGGCGUGCCUAAUACAUGCAAGUCGAGCGAACGGACGAGAAUCUUGCUUCUCUGAUGUUAGCGGCUGACGUGUGAGUAACACUUGUAUAACCUACCUAUAAGACUGGUAUAACUUCGGGAAACCUGAGCUAAUACCGGCUAAUAUUUUGAUCCGCAUUUUUCAAAAGUGAAAGACGUUCUUUCUGUCACUUAUAGAUGGAUCCUCGCUUCAUUAGCUAGUUGGUAAGGUAACGUCUUACCAAGGCAACGAUGCAUAGACGACCUGAGAGGGGGAUAGGCAACACGGGAACGGAGACACGGACCAGACACCUACGGGAGGAAGCAGUAGGGAAUAUUCGGAAAUGGGCGAAAGCAUGACGGAGCAAAGCCGCGUGAGUGAUGAAGGUCUUAGGAUCGGAAAACUCUGUUAUUAGGGAAGAACAUAUGUGUAAGUAACUGUGCACAUAGUGACGGUAACUAAUCAGAAAGCAACGGCUAACUACGUG